AGCCUCUUGCUCCGUGUUGUUCAAUGACCUUAGGAAAGGCUGCAUUAUUCAUACGCCUGCCGUCGGAGGAUGAAGGCUCCUACUUUGCCAACAGGGAGGGUGUAACAGACAGGGACACUGAUGUGUCAACCAAGACUCCAGGAUGCAGUGGAUAUAAAGGUCCGCAAGCCAUAUCAGCACAUGAGCAUUUUGUAGAAAAUGGUCUAAGAACCAUUUCCACAAUUCCUGGACCCCUCAGCCAUUCAAGGCUUGAAAAAGAGAGUGUGAAGGGGGGAGAGUUAGGUGAGAGAUUUUCUUUGGAGAGAGCUGUUGCCCCACUGUGACCAGUCUUACCUUUGAAUGAAGAUGAAACAACUCUCUGCACCUGUUCCUGCAGCUCCAGACUUGAAAUGGGCCUUCCCCUUUCCCUGACUAACUCCUUGUCCUUCACCUCGAAGACUGUAUCUUCUCCAGAGAGCCUUUCUUCCCUGACCACCAUCACCCAGUUGUGGACUCCCACAUCGUGAUUGCUUGUGGCAGGCGCCAGCCAGCUGGAGCAUGAGUUGGAUUCUGUGCCUGCCCCUCACCCUCUGCCUGAUAGCACAGACAGCCCUGGGUGCCUUGCACACCAAGGAGCCUCUAGUGGUUACCAAAUAUGGGACCCUCCAAGAAAGCAGAUACACGUGGGGAAGACACCCAUCAAUGCCUUCCUAGGAGUUCCCUUCUACAGACCUCCUGUGGGUGCCUGCAGGCUGUAAGAGGCCUGGCUUUCCUGCUGGGAUGCUGCAUGUGAUUUAUUGGACAACAACCUAACAACAACAUCAGCUGCUGCCGAGAAGUCAAGCAAGGAAGGCCAAAGACAAUCUGUAGAGACAGAGACAAGCUGCCUGCUGGUGACCUUGGAGAGGCUGGUGGGGGUGGAGGGAAGGACAGCUUGUUGAAACAUUUGGCCUUGAGGGGAAGAGAGAGCGUAGUUGCUGGAGAAGGUGGCUGGUAGAGGAUAGGUUUGGAUCAAGGUAUGUUGAAGUGCUGUUGGGAAGGACUGAAAGGGAGCAGGUGAUGCUCUAGGGUUAGGGAGGUGGGAGUGAAUUACACCUACGUACACACCCACAUACACACACUGAAGACAGGUUGGGACAAGAGAAAGGAACCGAGGAAUAGGUAGACAGGGAUUCCUGCAUUCAGUCAAAUGUUAUAAGAAUAGCCACCCUCAGGCCUGGGCCAGGAGGGAGAAAAGGCAAGGUGGACCAAUAGCCCAAGCUCCAUAAGUAUACCAGAUGUCCACACAGUGCAAGGCACAGGGCCAAGCGCCAGGAAUCAGAUGAAUACACCUACAUCCCUGCCCUUUGGGAGUAAAAACAACCAAAACAGCCAAUCAAAAUAACUCCAAGCCAGUAUUGUAGUCAAUGGUGGAUAGAGCUUUGGGAAGCACAGGGGGGAAAGUGCCCAGCAGAGGGGGCACCACUUAAGCUGGACCUUAAGUGUGAGUAGGAGUUUGCUGGGCAGAGGAGAAGGCAUUUGGUAGACAGAACAGAAGUACAGGGGCUUGCAGGUGAGAGGCAAGGGGUCAUGUGUAUUUGGAACAGAGAAUGGCUGGGAAGGAGAUGACUAGAUGGA
Long non-coding RNA from Physeter macrocephalus (sperm whale), 1596 nucleotides. RefSeq lists it as uncharacterized. Lineage: Eukaryota; Metazoa; Chordata; Mammalia; Artiodactyla; Physeteridae. The record is from RefSeq and is a predicted model, not a curated record. The transcript is spliced from 3 exons.